UUAGCAGGGAAGAAGCGAGAGUGACGGUACCUGCAGAAAAAGCGCCGGCUAACUACGUGCCAGCAGCCGCGGUAAUACGUAGGGCGCAAGCGUUAUCCGGAAUUAUUGGGCGUAAAGAGCUCGUAGGCGGUUUGUCGCGUCUGCUGUGAAAUCCCGAGGCUCAACCUCGGGCCUGCAGUGGGUACGGGCAGACUAGAGUGCGGUAGGGGAGAUUGGAAUUCCUGGUGUAGCGGUGGAAUGCGCAGAUAUCAGGAGGAACACCGAUGGCGAAGGCAGAUCUCUGGGCCGUAACUGACGCUGAGGAGCGAAAGGGUGGGGAGCAAACAGGCUUAGAUACCCUGGUAGUCCACCCCGUAAACGUUGGGAACUAGUUGUGGGGUCCAUUCCACGGAUUCCGUGACGCAGCUAACGCAUUAAGUUCCCCGCCUGGGGAGUACGGCCGCAAGGCUAAAACUCAAAGGAAUUGACGGGGACCCGCACAAGCGGCGGAGCAUGCGGAUUAAUUCGAUGCAACGCGAAGAACCUUACCAAGGCUUGACAUAUACGAGAACGGGCCAGAAAUGGUCAACUCUUUGGACACUCGUAAACAGGUGGUGCAUGGUUGUCGUCAGCUCGUGUCGUGAGAUGUUGGGUUAAGUCCCGCAACGAGCGCAACCCUCGUUCUAUGUUGCCAGCACGUAAUGGUGGGAACUCAUGGGAUACUGCCGGGGUCAACUCGGAGGAAGGUGGGGAUGACGUCA
RNAcentral lists this ribosomal RNA (740 nucleotides) under Microbacterium aerolatum. RNAcentral's name for it is "bacterial SSU rRNA". It matches the Rfam family "Bacterial small subunit ribosomal RNA", at positions 434 to 1187 of the family's 1533-position model. The record is from RNAcentral. Lineage: Bacteria; Bacillati; Actinomycetota; Actinomycetes; Micrococcales; Microbacteriaceae.